CUGGCUGGGCAGAUGAUAGAACAAAAGGGCAGCAGACAACGUGAGCAGAGGCAGCCAAGUUUCCUGCCCAGGCAAACAGAGAGGAUAACAGGAGAGGGGGAAGGAGAGAAAAGAAAAUGCAAACUCAUUGUUAAAGAGGAAGAAACCAAGCUGACAUGUGCUGUGGGCUGUUCUAGAACUCUGCACAAAUUGUUCUGAGAGAACCCAGGAAGUUUGGGGAAAACCGGGCCAGAAGCACAACUCUGGGCACGAGAGAGAACAAGGAGAAGCUUUCCCAGCGGAGGCCGGGAUGCAGGCCAUCACUGUGGUAGUGAAGACUCCCAACAGAGGAGUCCAGCCGGGGGCUGCCCAGCUGCUUCACCCUACAUAGACCUGCAUCAGCCUGGAUGAGGGCCAUCUUUGUGCCAUCGUCUGUCCCCAGGUGAGGGAGGAUGGGUUGGGAGGAAUUCACCUGCUAGAAAAGCCUCCUUUUCUAACUCAUCUUCCUGGAAAGUGAAAGUCACUCAGUCAUGUCUGAAUUAUUGUGACCCCCAUGGACUAUACAGUGAAUUCUCCAGGCCAGAAUACUGGAGUAGCCGUUCCCUUGUCCAGGGGAUCUUCCCAACCCAGGGAUCAAACCCAGGUCUCCCACAUUGCAGGUGGAUUCUUUAUCAGCUGAGCCACCAUCUUCCUGGAGGGGCAUCUUUAUUCUAAUUUGCACAGACACCAUCAUGCAGCUUGAUUAGAGCCAUACACUGUGAAAAUGUGUGUGUGCUCAGUCAUUUCCAACUCUUUGAAACCCCAUGGAUUGUAGCCAGCCAGGGAUUUCCCAGGAAAGAAUACUGGAGUGGGUUGCCAUUUUCUCCUCCAGGGGAUCUCCCCAACCCAGGGAUUGAACCCGGGUCUCCCGCAUCUUCUGCGUUGGCAGGUG
This is a long non-coding RNA of Bos indicus x Bos taurus (hybrid cattle), 910 nucleotides long. The record is from Ensembl. NCBI's taxonomy places the organism in Eukaryota, Metazoa, Chordata, Mammalia, Artiodactyla, Bovidae.